CUGCAUGGCUGUCGUCAGCUCGUGUUGUGAAAUGUUGGGUUAAGUCCCGCAACGAGCGCAACCCUUAUCCUUUGUUGCCAGCGGUCCGGCCGGGAACUCAAAGGAGACUGCCAGUGAUAAACUGGAGGAAGGUGGGGAUGACGUCAAGUCAUCAUGGCCCUUACGACCAGGGCUACACACGUGCUACAAUGGCGCAUACAAAGAGAAGCGACCUCGCGAGAGCAAGCGGACCUCAUAAAGUGCGUCGUAGUCCGGAUUGGAGUCUGCAACUCGACUCCAUGAAGUCGGAAUCGCUAGUAAUCGUGGAUCAGAAUGCCACGGUGAAUACGUUCCCGGGCCUUGUACACACCGCCCGUCACACCAUGGGAGUGGGUUGCAAAAGAAGUAGGUAGCUUAACCUUCGGGAGGGCGCUUACCACUUUGUGAUUCAUGACUGGGGUGAAGUCGUAACAAGGUAACCGUAGGGGAACCUGCGGUUGGAUCACCUCCUUACCUGAAAGAAGC
RNAcentral lists this ribosomal RNA (504 nucleotides) under Salmonella enterica subsp. enterica serovar Thompson. RNAcentral describes it as "bacterial SSU rRNA". It matches the Rfam family "Bacterial small subunit ribosomal RNA", at positions 1041 to 1533 of the family's 1533-position model. The record is from RNAcentral. Lineage: Bacteria; Pseudomonadati; Pseudomonadota; Gammaproteobacteria; Enterobacterales; Enterobacteriaceae.